GCCUGGGUGGCUCAGUGGUUGAGCGUCUGCCUUUGGCGCAGGACAUGAUCCUGGAUUCCUGGGAUCGAGUCCCGCAUCGGGCG
This is a non-coding RNA of Canis lupus familiaris (dog), 83 nucleotides long. The record is from Rfam. NCBI's taxonomy places the organism in Eukaryota, Metazoa, Chordata, Mammalia, Carnivora, Canidae.